RNAcentral lists this ribosomal RNA (113 nucleotides) under Caerostris darwini. The record is from RNAcentral. Lineage: Eukaryota; Metazoa; Arthropoda; Arachnida; Araneae; Araneidae.
ACGGCCAUAACCAUGCUGAAUAUACCGGUUCUCGCUGAAUUCACCGAAGUUAAGCAUCAUUGGGCGCGGUCAGUACUUGGGUGGGUGACCACCUGGGAACACCGCGUGCCGUU